CUAAUACCGGAUAAUAUUUUGAACCGCAUGGUUCAAAAGUGAAAGACGGUCUUGCUGUCACUUAUAGAUGGAUCCGCGCUGCAUUAGCUAGUUGGUAAGGUAACGGCUUACCAAGGCAACGAUGCAUAGCCGACCUGAGAGGGUGAUCGGCCACACUGGAACUGAGACACGGUCCAGACUCCUACGGGAGGCAGCAGUAGGGAAUCUUCCGCAAUGGGCGAAAGCCUGACGGAGCAACGCCGCGUGAGUGAUGAAGGUCUUCGGAUCGUAAAACUCUGUUAUUAGGGAAGAACAUAUGUGUAAGUAACUGUGCACAUCUUGACGGUACCUAAUCAGAAAGCCACGGCUAACUACGUGCCAGCAGCCGCGGUAAUACGUAGGUGGCAAGCGUUAUCCGGAAUUAUUGGGCGUAAAGCGCGCGUAGGCGGUUUUUUAAGUCUGAUGUGAAAGCCCACGGCUCAACCGUGGAGGGUCAUUGGAAACUGGAAAACUUGAGUGCAGAAGAGGAAAGUGGAAUUCCAUGUGUAGCGGUGAAAUGCGCAGAGAUAUGGAGGAACACCAGUGGCGAAGGCGACUUUCUGGUCUGUAACUGACGCUGAUGUGCGAAAGCGUGGGGAUCAAACAGGAUUAGAUACCCUGGUAGUCCACGCCGUAAACGAUGAGUGCUAAGUGUUAGGGGGUUUCCGCCCCUUAGUGCUGCAGCUAACGCAUUAAGCACUCCGCCUGGGGAGUACGACCGCAAGGUUGAAACUCAAAGGAAUUGACGGGGACCCGCACAAGCGGUGGAGCAUGUGGUUUAAUUCGAAGCAACGCGAAGAACCUUACCAAAUCUUGACAUCCUUUGACAACUCUAGAGAUAGAGCCUUCCCCUUCGGGGGACAAAGUGACAGGUGGUGCAUGGUUGUCGUCAGCUCGUGUCGUGAGAUGUUGGGUUAAGUCCCGCAACGAGCGCAACCCUUAAGCUUAGUUGCCAUCAUUAAGUUGGGCACUCUAAGUUGACUGCCGGUGACAAACCGGAGGAAGGUGGGGAUGACGUCAAAUCAUCAUGCCCCUUAUGAUUUGGGCUACACACGUGCUACAAUGGACAAUACAAAGGGCAGCGAAACCGCGAGGUCAAGCAAAUCCCAUAAAGUUGUUCUCAGUUCGGAUUGUAGUCUGCAACUCGACUACAUGAAGCUGGAAUCGCUAGUAAUCGUAGAUCAGCAUGCUACGGUGAAUACGUUCCCGGGUCUUGUACACACCGCCCGUCACACCACGAGAGUUUGUAACACCCGAAGCCGGUGGAGUAACCUUUUAGGAGCUAGCCGUCGAAGGUGGGACAAAUGAUUGGGGUGAAGUCGUAACAAGGUAGCCGUAUCGGAAGGUGCGGCUGGAUCACCU
RNAcentral lists this ribosomal RNA (1380 nucleotides) under Staphylococcus aureus W35455. RNAcentral's name for it is "bacterial SSU rRNA". It matches the Rfam family "Bacterial small subunit ribosomal RNA", at positions 163 to 1528 of the family's 1533-position model. The record is from RNAcentral. Lineage: Bacteria; Bacillati; Bacillota; Bacilli; Caryophanales; Staphylococcaceae.